GACUUCACAAAUAUAUAUAUAGUUGGAAACAUCUGCGAUGGUUUACAUGGUUUGUGAUUUGGUGUUAUAAAGCUAUUUGGGAAUUUAGUGAACCAUGUAAUUAUUAUGAGAUUUUAUUUGGAGUUCACCCAAUGGGGUAUUUAGCUAAGGAAGAGUUUUAGUGCAAAGUAUGCCAACCCAAUAUGUUUAUUGGAGUUUAAGCUAAUUUAUGAAACAAAGUUUCAUAAUAGAUUUCAAAGUCUAUUUUAUUUAGUACUUAUAAAGCCGUAAUGACAUUUAUAUAAGCAAAAGUAUUUUCACUUAUUUUAUUUUGAAAGGAUUCAGGUCCCAAAAGUUCACACUUUGGAGUAUUUGAAUUUACAAAUUUACUGGAGUUUAUUUGAACUUAUUUGGAAUUAGGAAUCAAAACUUAUUAAUAAAAAAGAAAGAAAAAAAAAGAUAAUGGACCGACCCAAACUGGGCCGGCUCAUCUCCACCGAGCAGCCCAGCGAGAGCACGAGCACGAGCUCGUCUUCCUCCUCUGCACAUAAGGAAAUCUCUCCUGCCAUAUUUUCUUUCUUCGAUUUCUUUCCUUCCCGCGCGUCUCUCUCCGAAAGGAAACCACCCAUCAAUCCUCAUCAUCCCGGGAACACAUUCAGGCAACUAAUUUGAAGUUUCCUCUCAUAAUCGCAGUUUCCAAAAGAGGCGCCCCGAAUGCC
RNAcentral lists this long non-coding RNA (698 nucleotides) under Brachypodium distachyon (stiff brome). RNAcentral describes it as "long non-coding RNA (BDIS_LNC002438)". The record is from RNAcentral. Lineage: Eukaryota; Viridiplantae; Streptophyta; Magnoliopsida; Poales; Poaceae.